This 445-nucleotide ribosomal RNA is filed under the name uncultured bacterium. RNAcentral's name for it is "partial 16S ribosomal RNA". It matches the Rfam family "Bacterial small subunit ribosomal RNA", at positions 329 to 791 of the family's 1533-position model. The record is from RNAcentral.
CACCAGACUCCUACGGGAGGCAGCAGUGGGGAAUAUUGCACAAUGGGGGAAACCCUGAUGCAGCAACGCCGCGUGAGUGAAGAAGUAUUUCGGUAUGUAAAGCUCUAUCAGCAGGGAAGAAGAUGACGGUACCUGAGUAAGAAGCCCCGGCUAACUACGUGCCAGCAGCCGCGGUAAUACGUAGGGGGCAAGCGUUAUCCGGAUUUACUGGGUGUAAAGGGAGCGUAGACGGUGGGACAAGUCUGAAGUGAAAGCCCGGGGCUCAACCCCGGGACUGCUUUGGAAACUGCCUGACUGGAGUGCUGGAGAGGCAAGCGGAAUUCCUAGUGUAGCGGUGAAAUGCGUAGAUAUUAGGAAGAACACCAGUGGCGAAGGCGGCUUGCUGGACAGUAACUGACGUUGGGGCUCGAAAGCGUGGGGAGCAAACAGGAUUAGAUACCCCGUA